UACGUAGGGGGCAAGCGUUGUCCGGAAUCAUUGGGCGUAAAGCGCGUGUAGGCGGUUCGAUAAGUCUGCUGUGAAAGUCCAGGGCUCAACCCUGGGAUGCCGGUGGAUACUGUCGGACUAGAGUACGGAAGAGGCGAGUGGAAUUCCUGGUGUAGCGGUGAAAUGCGCAGAUAUCAGGAGGAACACCAAUUGCGAAGGCAGCUCGCUGGGACGUUACUGACGCUGAGACGCGAAAGCGUGGGGAGCAAACAGG
This 253-nucleotide ribosomal RNA is filed under the name uncultured bacterium. Its description in RNAcentral is "partial 16S ribosomal RNA". It matches the Rfam family "Bacterial small subunit ribosomal RNA", at positions 524 to 776 of the family's 1533-position model. The record is from RNAcentral.